CACACCGCCUGUCACACCAUGGGAGUGGGUUCCACCAGAAGUAGUUAGCCUAACCGCAAGGAGGGCGAUUACCACGGUGAGAUUCAUGACUGGGGUG
RNAcentral lists this ribosomal RNA (97 nucleotides) under uncultured bacterium. Its description in RNAcentral is "partial 16S ribosomal RNA". It matches the Rfam family "Bacterial small subunit ribosomal RNA", at positions 1386 to 1482 of the family's 1533-position model. The record is from RNAcentral.